AAUGAACAAAGUCCUGUCCAAGCAUAUUUGGCCAUUGACUGUGGAAACUGUACUUGGAUAACCGUAUGAUGUUUACAUUUUUCUGCAAUUACAACUUCAACUCCCACAACACAAACUGGAUUCCUCAAUCAACUUCUGAUUUAUUUCAUUACGAAAAUGUAGAGCAGAAGAUAGAAGAUGAAGAUAAUCAUGAUUUUGUGACAGAAGAUAACAAGACAGACGAAGAAGAAAAAGAAGUAGAAGAAGAUGAAGACCGCAAGGAUGACGAAGAAGAAGAAGAAGAGAAAAAGGAAAAGAGUAAUAAGAAAGGAAGCAAGAAAAAAGGAUUAACUAAGGUGGACAAAGAUGUCAAGAAAAGAGGUGGCUUUACCAAGUUGUGUAGUCUUUCUCCAGAGCUUCAAACAUUGUUUGGAGUAUCUGAGUUGGCCAGAACAGAGGUUGUUAAGAAACUCUGGGUUUAUAUUAAGGACAACCAAUUGCAAGAUCCAAAGAAUAAGCGAAAUAUAUUAUGUGAUGAAUCUUUACAUGCUCUUUUUCGUGUUAGUUCUAUCAACAUGUUUCAAAUGAAUAAAGUUCUCUCCAAACACAUAUGGCCGUUAGACAAGGAAGAUGCUCCUGUAGACUCUACUCAGAAGGAAAAGCGGCGCAAGCAAGAGGCAGAAGGUACAGAUGAACCACAUCGGAAAGAAAAACGACAGAAGAAAGGAGGAUCAAAAUGAUAGGAGGAAAGAGUUGUGUGUCAUGAUAAGCUAAAGGAACUUUCUGAGGUUGACUCUCUCUGGUGCUUCUCAGGCUCAAUGCUUCUGACUACUGAAUUUUUUUCAAGAUAGGAGAGUGAGUUGAUUGUUUGUAUAUAAUAUGAGCCCAGUAGAAGUGGGCAAUUUUUGCUCAAGUUCUAAUUCUCCUUUUACGCUGGUAAGUUGUAUCCAUCUAACAUUUCAAACAAAUUGAAGCAAAUAUCUUCAGUUAAGUUGUUUCACCGUUCCCCAUAGCAUCAUGUAUUUACUUCUUUUAACUUUCUACACCUUAUUUGUAUGUGGAGAUGAUGGCCAUUAGAAUGUGGAAAGAUCAUAAGACAUGGCCAUCUGGAAAGCAAAUUUGUUAUACCUUGUAGUCUUGCAGGGACUACAAGGUUAAUAAAACUUUGAUAGGUACUAUAUGAAUUCUGCUUUUGAAAUUGUUUUUUUAGGGCAUUCUCGAUGUACUAUGUGCAGUCCAACUGAUGGGCUUUAAAGCAUUUGUCAGAACUAAAGAUAACACAUCAUUCUGGGCCAAGGGACAAAAUUCUCUUCUAGGUCAAAUUGAAAUGACAAGAUCUAUUGCUUUACCACUGAGAUGACAUGAAUUACUCCUAAGCAUGUGUUUAAGAAAACACUUAUUACCAAUGAUUUCUCAUAUUUUGCUGGUGUAUGUUGCUGCAUAAAAUCAUCUGCUGCCCUGUUUUCGGCAACAUUUACUUCAACUAUGAAUCGGUUUCAUCAGUCGAGAGGUUCUCAUGGUAUUGAGCCGGUACUGUAGAACUCCCCCCGGUAAAUAAAUUGAUUGAUCUGCUUGCUUUUUCUCUCUCUCUGUUAGUUGGUAAAGUUGAGAUUUCAUUUGUUCAACAUAGGAGCCAUUGUAAGUUAGGAAGAAUGUCUUUUUCAGAAUCCUAGAAUGGCAUGAUAUGGACCUGUAAUGGAGUAAUUUUCACAUGUUAAAAUCUCAUUCUGUGAAUGUGUUGUGUUCAUACGAAAGUUCCCAAGUAGCAGUAAUGGUAAUGGUAAUGGUACUGGUACAGGUACAGGAAUUUAAAGGCUGUAGAAAGCUUGUGGGCAUUUAUAGAAUUUGGCAUUUAUCAUUAUGGACAGCCGGAAAAGAGUGGACCAUAACGAUUCAUUUCUUGAAGUUAACUUUACUAAAGUUUAUUAAAAAUAGCACAUGUGAAACUCUCUGAGAGAAUCUUUCAUACAACGGUUUUACAUCUUGCAUUCUAGAACCAGUGUCUUGACAUGGCCUUCCAUGAUUAGUUGA
Pistacia vera is the source of this 2010-nucleotide RNA transcript. It is a transcript of the gene named upstream activation factor subunit spp27-like, with no coding region annotated. The transcript is spliced from 9 exons. The record is from RefSeq and is a predicted model, not a curated record. Lineage: Eukaryota; Viridiplantae; Streptophyta; Magnoliopsida; Sapindales; Anacardiaceae.